UUUUUUUUUUUUUUUUUUUUUUCCUUUUGUGGAGAACGGGGUCUCGCUCUAUUACCCAGGCAGGUCUCGAACUCCUGGACUCAAGCUAUCCUCCCGCCUCUGCCUCCCUGAGAGCUGAGAUUACAGGCGUGAGCCACCGCGCCCGGAGGUACCAGCUCUUCUUUGUACAGCUGGUAGGAUUCAGCUGUGAAUCCGUCAGGCCCUGGGCUUUUUUUGGUUGGUAGGCUAUUUAUUACUGAUUCAAUUUCAGAGCUCAUUAUUGGUCUGUUCAGGGAAUCAAUUUUUUCCUGGUUCAGUCUUAGGAGGGUAUAUGUGUCCAGAAAUUUAUCCAUGUCUUCUAGGUCUUCUAGCUUGUGUGGAGCCUCUACUAUUAGAAAUUACCAUAUAAGACUUUAAAAAGAGGGCAUCAUGAGAACACAGGAACCAUGUGUCAUUCAUCAGAAACUGCAACUACAGAGACAGUUGGCUUCAGUGAUGAUUAACUUUAUGUGUUAAGUUGAUUGGACUAAGGGAUGCCCAGAGAGCUAAUAAAACAUUAUUUCUGGAUGUGUUUGUAAUGGUGUUUCUAGAAGAGAUUAGCAUUUGAAUCAGCAGACUGAGUAAACAAGAUUGCCCUCACCAGUGUGAGUGAGUGUCAUCCAAUCUGUUGAGGCCCGAGUAGAACAACAGGGCAGAGUAAAGGUGUAACAAAACAAAACAAAACAACAACAACAUCUGACCAAUCAGAUAUAAACUGGGGUUUCUACCAUUCCUCCUCAGGUUCAAUUAAUUUGAUAAGAUAGCUCUCACAGAGCUCAGGAAAAUACUUACAAUUGCCCAUUUAUUUACUUAUUUAUUUAUUUAAGUAGUCAUUAUUGGAUACCCAUUUACUCUAAAGAAUAUCACAGCCAGGUGCAAUGGCUCAUGCCUGGAAUCUCAGAACUUUGGGAGGCCAAGGCAGGAGGAUCAGACCAGUCUCAGGGGUUUAAAACCACCCUGGGCAAUAUGGCAAAACCCCAUCUCUACAAAAAAUUUAAAAAGUAGCCAGGCAUAGAGGCACACACCUGUGGUUCCAGCUACCCAUGAGGCUGAGGUAGAAGGAUCACUUGAGGCCAGGAGGUUAGGGAUGCAGUGAGUCAAGAUCAUACCACUGCACUCCAGCCUGGGCAACAGAGCAAGGCCCUGCCUCAAUAAAAUAAAAUUAAAAUUAAAUUAAGUUAAAUAAAAAGGGAUUUCACAGAGGAUACAGAUGAGCAGCCACAUGGAAGAGAUGCAUAGGGCAAGGCAUGAGGGAAGAGCACGGAGCUUUCAUGCUGUCUCCAGGCCCACUACCCUCCAAGCACCUUCACGUGUUCAGCUAUUUGGAAGCUCUCCAAACCAAUUCCUUUUGGGUUUUUAUGGAAGCUUCAUUGUAUAAGCAUAAUUGAUUAAAUCAUUGGCCAUUGGUGACCAACUCAAGCUUUAACCCAUCUCCACUCCUGAGAGGUUGGGGGUGGGACUGAAAGUUCCAACCCUCUAAUCAUGCC
RNAcentral lists this long non-coding RNA (1505 nucleotides) under Macaca fascicularis (crab-eating macaque). Its description in RNAcentral is "lncRNA (ENSMFAG00000049315.1)". The record is from RNAcentral. Lineage: Eukaryota; Metazoa; Chordata; Mammalia; Primates; Cercopithecidae.